RNAcentral lists this ribosomal RNA (222 nucleotides) under uncultured bacterium. RNAcentral describes it as "partial 16S ribosomal RNA". It matches the Rfam family "Bacterial small subunit ribosomal RNA", at positions 57 to 305 of the family's 1533-position model. The record is from RNAcentral.
GCAAGUCGAACGAGAUCUUUCGGGAUUUAGUGGCGGACGGGUGAGUAACGCGUGAGGAUCUGCCUAAAGGACCGGGACAACAGUUGGAAACGGCUGCUAAAACCGGAUGUGCCGCGAGGUGAAAUAUUUUAUAGCCUUUAGAUGAGCUCGCGUCUGAUUAGCUAGUUGGUGGGGUAAAGGAAUACCAAGGCGACGAUGAGUAGCUGGGCUGAGAGGAAGAGC